AAAUAUGUCUCCGUGUUUACCAGCCCCAGGAUUUUUGUUAGCUGGUAGACACUUAGUUGAUACAGAAUAUCCAAAAAAAUACAAAAAAAAAUUGAGUUACACGACCAUGAAGGUCUACUGGGCUGAACAAAAGUCUGAAGUGGACGGCGGAAGCAACUCGAGGAACCACCAGUGCCCAUCGGACUUCAUUCCCACAGGAACAGUUGACCUGGAUUAAUUCCUAUCUCACAAGGCUGCUGUCCUUGACUCCUAGGUUCCGGGGUUGAUGGUAUCGUGCUCCUCUCCAAACGCAAUCUGGCCAAGACAAUAGCCAGGGACAAGCCAGUGAGUACUUUGAAUGUACUCGCAAACAUCAAGAAAAAAACACGUUAAGUAGGCGAGUUGCAUGCAAAUUCCACUAACAGUUAUAUCAUACUCUUGUAGUGUAACUGAUGGGUGCAUUCAUGAAGAUAUGCCAUGUUUCCACCAAUGAUUUAUAAACAAGCAAGGAUGAUAAUGUUGUAUAAGUAAUGAUAUGUGUGCCACUGUCGGGCGUGUAAGCGACACCACAGAAAAGGGCUUAUAUGAAACAGUAAGCAUGCCACAGUCGGGCGUCUCAGCGACACCAUAUAAAGGGCUUAUAAGAAAUGAUAAUGAGCAUGCAACAGUCGGGCGUCUAAGCGACACCACAUAAAUGGCUUAUAAGAAAUGAUAAUGAGCAUGUCACAGUCGAGCGUCUCAGCGACACCACAUAAAGGGCUUAUAUGAAACAGUAAUAAAUAUUGAAUAUCCAGGAGGUAGAGCCGUCCCAGGGAUAUCCACAACAUAAUCAUAGGGGUUAGUCGGGAGUAAUAAUCAUAAUAUGAUUAUCCACCACAUCAUCAUAUGAUUUACCACAAACAUUAUUAUUAUCACCGUUUAUACUCCAAAUACCGACUCUAGGACAGACACUUGACUCGUCAAACAACGCCCUUGACCAGGGACACGGCUACUCGAAUAGUUUUCACUCUGCAGAGGGCGUACUCUUUACCCACAGCUCAUGGAUUCCGAUAGUCGACAAGACACACCGAUUUUCCUCCGCGAAGCCCGCCUUCACCUGGACUAUACUACCAAGGGAAAACCAUAAGACGGGGAGGCUCCGACCUCGACUAGCAUGGGAUCAAAAAUUUAUACCGUGCACUCACUGGGAAGGGCCAUUCCCUUUCGGUCCCAUGGCCGGAAACACCCAUGCCCCCUGACCGGAUUAAUGGAUUUAUUCCAGGGCCAUGGAUACCUUCAUACCGGCCCCUCUACUUGGUGUGUGACUGAUAAUAGGCCUACAACUUACUUUACCGAAUCCAUUAUCCAGGAAACUUUGGUAGCACGCAAUAGAUGUAUGACACGGACAAGACUCGAUUUAGGUCGAUACUGGAGUUAACCAUGUUUUACCGGCAUCAUCGUGCACACGUCAUGACCAGGCCAUAACCUAUCAUGUUCCGCGUGACUAAGUUAUUCCAUGACCCCUCAUAACUAGCACAUGCCAUCACCAUAUUUCACCAUCAUUAUAAUGUGAGUAGCAUGCAUGAAUAGGCAAAGCAUUAUUUUAUGUGAUGCUAAUAUUAACAUAACCUCAAUUCAAGCGAUAUAAGUACCAUCACAAUCAUCACACAAAUCAAGCAAAUAUGGGUUCAAGAUGCUUGCCGUAGGUGUGUAGAGAACUAGAUUUGCACUCCAAAACUUUUGAAGGUUUACUUCUCUCUCCAUCUACUAUUUGAAAAUAAUUCUAUUCAACACGCAAGUCCAAAAAACUACAUAAAAGUUGUUUGCAAAAUUUGCAAAUAAAUCUUAAAAUAAACUAGAGGUAAUUCUGAACCAGUAGGAAAAAGAAUCAAAUGAUUUGGCGGUUACUAUAAAAAGAUAUAGCGAGUCAAACUUACUGGUCAAAUCUGUUUUUAAAAAUCAAAAUAAAGAAAACGCUUCGGGCUAUUUACGCUUUCUAACAAAGAAAACGCAAUCACUGCAACAACCGCGAAUAAAUACACUUUGCAAAAAAGAAAACGCACCAGGGGGCUUGCGCUACUCAGGGCUGGUGCUCACUCACAGACAGGCGGGACCCGCCUAUCGGGUUCUCCUUCUUCCUCCCGCACGCAUCUUGGAUAGGAACAGAGACGCACUCCGAUGAUGAUUGCCGGUGGCACAUGGCAUCUCCUGCCACGCUCCAGCUAUGCACGAGCUCGGGAAGGAGUGCCACAUCCAUUUUUGGAAGUUGGGGCAACCACAGAGUUCAACAAUGGCGGAGGGAGCUUCUGUCACCUUGCUUCCUCAGUCCCAUGGGGUAUGGGUAGGCUAGCAGGGUUACUAGGAGGAGGAGAGGGGCUUGGGGAUGCCGGAAUCGAGCAGGGGAUCGACAGCGGCGUUACUGACAGAGAGGUGCACCGGGGGCUGCUCGGGCUAAAUUGGGCGAUGCACAGGGGAGCUACUGGUCUUGGGAGGUUUUUGGUAAACUCAAAGUGCUCGGCGGCUCCUUAAAUAGCUAGCUAGAGUUGGUUCUGCGGAGACCUUCGGAUAAGAUCGUCGGCAGCAGUCUUUGGCAAACGGCUCAGGAGCACAGGAGCGGCGGCAGGGCGCAGUAGGGGCAGCAAGGGGAAGCGAGGCAGGGGAGGGACCGCG
RNAcentral lists this long non-coding RNA (2628 nucleotides) under Hordeum vulgare. RNAcentral describes it as "long non-coding RNA (HVUL_LNC004233)". Lineage: Eukaryota; Viridiplantae; Streptophyta; Magnoliopsida; Poales; Poaceae. The record is from RNAcentral.